This 487-nucleotide ribosomal RNA is filed under the name Brevundimonas diminuta. RNAcentral's name for it is "bacterial SSU rRNA". It matches the Rfam family "Bacterial small subunit ribosomal RNA", at positions 380 to 877 of the family's 1533-position model. Lineage: Bacteria; Pseudomonadati; Pseudomonadota; Alphaproteobacteria; Caulobacterales; Caulobacteraceae. The record is from RNAcentral.
AGCCUGACGCAGCCAUGCCGCGUGAAUGAUGAAGGUCUUAGGAUUGUAAAAUUCUUUCACCGGGGACGAUAAUGACGGUACCCGGAGAAGAAGCCCUCGGCUAACUUCGUGCCAGCUAGCCGCGGUAAUACGAAGGGGGCUAGCGUUGCUCGGAAUUACUGGGCGUAAAGGGCGCGUAGGCGGAUCGUUAAGUCAGAGGUGAAAUCCCAGGGCUCAACCCUGGAACUGCCUUUGAUACUGGCGAUCUUGAGUAUGAGAGAGGUAUGUGGAACUCCGAGUGUAGAGGUGAAAUUCGUAGAUAUUCGGAAAGAACACCAGUGGCGAAGGCGACAUACUGGCUCAUUACUGACGCUGAGGCGCGAAAGCGUGGGGAGCAAACAGGAUUAGAUACCCUGGUAGUCCACGCCGUAAACGAUGAUUGCUAGUUGUCGGGCUGCCAUGCCAGUUCGGUGACGCCAGCUAACGCCAUAAAGCCAAUCCGCCUGGG